RNAcentral lists this ribosomal RNA (776 nucleotides) under uncultured Neocallimastigales. Its description in RNAcentral is "partial large subunit ribosomal RNA". It matches the Rfam family "Eukaryotic large subunit ribosomal RNA", at positions 23 to 634 of the family's 3401-position model. The record is from RNAcentral. Lineage: Eukaryota; Fungi; Neocallimastigomycota; Neocallimastigomycetes; Neocallimastigales.
AGAGAGAGACAUGCGCGCAUAUCAAUAAGCGGAGGAAAAGAAACUAACAAGGAUUCCCUUAGUAACGGCGAGUGAAGCGGGAAGAGCUCAAAUUUGAAAUCUUCAAGGUUUUACCUUGACGAAUUGUAGUUUAAAGAAGUGUUUUCUGCUGAAGUUUUGGUAAAAGUUCUUUGGAAUAGGACAUCAUAGAGGGUGAGAAUCCCGUAUUUGACCAUUAUUUUCAGCUUUGUGAUACACUUUCAAAGAGUCGGAUUGUUUGGGAAUGCAGUCCAAAAUGGGUGGUAAAUUUCAUCUAAAGCUAAAUAUUGGCGAGAGACCGAUAGCGAACAAGUACCGUGAGGGAAAGAUGAAAAGAACUUUGAAAAGAGAGUUAAACAGUACGUGAAAUUGUCAAAAGGGAAGCGUUUGACACCAGUGUUGUUUUCUCGAAAAUCAAUUAAAAAUGGCUCGAUUUUGUAUUGUUGAGACCUUAAAAGCUCACUGUACAUUUUUCGUGUCUUUUUUAAUGCACUUUUCGUUUAACAAGUCAACAUCAGUUUCUUUUGUUGUAAAAGGGUCAUUGGAAGGUGGCUUUCUUUUCGGAGAAAAGUGUUUAUAGCCUUUGGCCUCUGCAAUCGAAGAGACUGAGGAUCUGCAGCGUAGACUCUUCGGGGUUAGAUACAUUUGUGCUAAGUUAUAGCUUUUUAUAGACAACUUGUUGACUAUAAUUAGUCUUGUAGCUUACUCGCUUAUGCUAUUUUACCUACGCUUAGGAUGUUGAGUCGUAGAGCACGCAG